Non-coding RNA from Phascolarctos cinereus (koala), 296 nucleotides. Lineage: Eukaryota; Metazoa; Chordata; Mammalia; Diprotodontia; Phascolarctidae. The record is from RefSeq and is a predicted model, not a curated record.
UACAGAUUCAGCCAAUCGGAGGCCCUGCCUGAGGUUUAUGCAGAUGAACUCCUUGGGUUAUUCAUCAGGCAGAUGAGAAAACAGGAUUACAGGAAUGAAAUGACAUGACCAAGAUCCCUCUGGCGCGGAGCUGACACUUGAACCCAAAGUCCAUAUUCAGUGAUAUUUCCAGGGCACCUUAAUGUUUCGAAAGCUCCCAAAGGGGACAGAGAAAAAGUUGAUGGAGCCAUUGUUGUCUUCAUGCCCAGCCAGGAGAGUCUCUACCUCUUCCUCAGUCAUCUUCUCCCCUAUUAGCA